CCUCAGGGAGUGGGGGCUAGAUGAUGACUGGCAGUAGCCACUGAGGUACAUUUCUCAAUGGUGUAUAUUUGAUGAGCUCCUCCUAAGGAAAUCUUCUAACUCUGAAUAAUGCCAACCAGCAAAGUGGAGAUGUGGAAUAUAAUCCUUCAGCAUCCUGAGUCAAACUGAAAUGAAAAUGCUGGAGAUGGUUUUCUAAUAAGACAUUGUUUGAAUACUAAUUAUUUCUUGUUGAUGCAAAUUUAGAACCCUUUUCAACAAAGCACUUAAGCAACAGUCUCUGAGAAAACAUUCAUACAACAAUCUGGUUGUUUUAUUGUCUGAAUCUGUCAGGACAGUCAUUUUGUUACUCAAACAUUGUGAUCCCCUUGCAAGCUGUAAACUGUUUAAUGAGACCUUCUGAAUCAGUAACAUCUGUUCCUGCUGAUGGAAAAUAUCCCCUUGGCUACAGAGGGAUCACAGUCACAUGCUGCUGCUGCUGGAACGGCCUGUGUGAAUCAACAGCAAGAUAGAUUCAUCACUCUGCACCUAAUAGAUAUAACACCAAAAUGUAGCCAAGACAUUCCUGUCCAAAGUGGGAGGUAACAGCAUGUCCCCUAGUGGACCGCUGACAAAGAUUGAGUCAAACCUGCCAAAAUGUGAACCUGCUGUUCUAGGCAGACUAAGUAUUUCAAACCUGAUGCUCAACACAUAGAGCUCUUCCUUUUGACAAUUUCUUACAGAUGAUCAAUUAAUACCUGAGUAAUGCCUGGCACUAUUCAUUAAUAUGUGGUUAGAUGAAAAGAGGCAGAAUAGAAAACUGAGGCUUAAUAAAAUAUAUUUUAGAAUAGAUUUAAUUUAGAUUUGGUGCAUUGGUGUUCUGCUCAGUUCCAUGCUCUAGGUGCUUUACACUAUUUAUAUAAAGCAACUUCCUUAAAAUACCACGGCUCCCACAGACUCCUAUAGAUCAUAUAUAACACAAUCUUCUGUAAUAUCUUUCCAACUCCAA
This is a long non-coding RNA of Dermochelys coriacea (leatherback sea turtle), 985 nucleotides long. RefSeq lists it as uncharacterized. The transcript has 4 exons. Lineage: Eukaryota; Metazoa; Chordata; Testudines; Dermochelyidae. The record is from RefSeq and is a predicted model, not a curated record.